This is a small nucleolar RNA of Panicum hallii, 107 nucleotides long. The record is from RefSeq and is a predicted model, not a curated record. NCBI's taxonomy places the organism in Eukaryota, Viridiplantae, Streptophyta, Magnoliopsida, Poales, Poaceae.
AUCCUGUGGUGAGGAAAUGCUAGGAUGUACUCUUGAAGCCUCUUCCAUGCUUCAAAAACUAACUCAUUUGACAUCUACUGGAAGCUGGAGAUUCUCCCACGGAGAGC